AGGAUGAACGCUGGCGGCGUGCCUAAUACGUGCAAGUCGAGCGCCCUGCACAUUGCCCAUUAACUGAUUUAGUGAGCAGCGUGUAGGGAGCGGCGGACGGCUGAGUAACACGUAGGAACGUACCCCAAACUGAGGGAUAAGCACCAGAAAUGGUGUCUAAUACCGCAUGUGAUCUUCGGAUUAAAGCUUCGGCGGUUUGGGAACGGCCUGCGCAUGAUUAGCUUGUUGGUGAGGUAAUGGCUCACCAAGGCAGUGAUCAUUAGCUGGUCUGAGAGGAUGACCAGCCAGACUGGGACUGAGAACGGCCCAGACUCCUACGGGAGGCAGCAGUAGGGAAUCUUCCACAAUGGGCGAAAGCCUGAUGGAGCAACGCCGCGUGCAGGAUGAAGGUCUUCGGAUUGUAAACUGCUUUUAUCUGUGACGAUUAUGACGGUAGCAGAUGAAUAAGGAUCGGCUAACGUCCGUGCC
This 468-nucleotide ribosomal RNA is filed under the name uncultured bacterium. RNAcentral describes it as "SSU rRNA". It matches the Rfam family "Bacterial small subunit ribosomal RNA", at positions 26 to 509 of the family's 1533-position model. The record is from RNAcentral.